GAAUUAGGACAAUCUUACAUUUAAUCUGAGGAUUCUUGACUGUGACUCGUUCACUUUGAUCUGGAUUGUGGAAGAGGCAGGAGUUGUCCGAUUUAGUUUCGCGUCGUGAGGUGAUCUUACAGUUAUAGCAAAGACAGUCGUUAACUAGUUCCUAGUUUAGCUAAAAACUGUGCUGGUUGAGGAAAGUGUGCGAGUGUGGAGCGACAAUCAGAAUCGUGGCCGGUGUGCUGAAAGCCCGUCACCUCACCCGUUUACCAGUGACCACUCCUGACCCCACUCUGCAGCUUCGAAGUUUCCCGGCGGUCCACUUUGCCGGAAGGGGCCGCGACCGUCAAUCUCGCGCCCAGGCAGGGCGAAGGCAGCAAGUAAGUCAGCAACAGCAAACGUUUUCCCGCUGUCGGUGACGACCGAGAGCGCAGCAGCAGCAGCAAAGCAAAGUCCACAUCUCGUUGGCGAGGCGCCGUCGGCUGCAUGAAGACUAUCGUAGCGUAGAAGGAGGAACCGCAACAGAGCGCGCACCGCGACCGCGGUGUAAGAGACGGCACCGUUUAGAUGAGCCGUGGGUAAGCGUCACCCUCUCCGUCAAGCAAGCGCAUGGCAAGCGUCGCCAUCUCCGUCUAGCAAGCACAUGGCAAGCGUCGCCAUCUCCGUCCGUAGAGGUAGAGCACGUACGUAGGCGUCGUCCGCAAAUCAGGCCGCCUGCGGUGCCGCAUCAUCUCGUCGCCCGGCGAACAGCAUCGUCCGGCAAGCCAACGAUAGCAACGUCCCCGUCGUGGAGCUACAACGGCGACAAUAAUACGAAUGGUCCGUAAGUAAACGCAUGCGAAAGUAAAUUUCCCAAGCUUGGUGAAGAAUCGUUUGGUUUUGCCUGCUCCCAAUUUUGGUUGGUGAUGCGUGGCGGUGAGAGGCUAU
Armigeres subalbatus is the source of this 912-nucleotide long non-coding RNA. RefSeq lists it as uncharacterized. The record is from RefSeq and is a predicted model, not a curated record. Lineage: Eukaryota; Metazoa; Arthropoda; Insecta; Diptera; Culicidae. The transcript has 3 exons.